UGAGUAACACGUAUGCAAUCCACCUGUAACAGGGGGAUAACCCGGAGAAAUCCGGACUAAUACCCCAUAAUAUGGGCGCUCCGCAUGGAGAGUCCAUUAAAGAGAGCAAUCUUGGUUACAGACGAGCAUGCGCUCCAUUAGCCAGUUGGCGGGGUAACGGCCCACCAAGGCGACGAUGGAUAGGGGUUCUGAGAGGAAGGUCCCCCACAUUGGAACUGAGACACGGUCCAA
Molecule: ribosomal RNA, 231 nt
Filed under: uncultured bacterium
Lineage: Bacteria
Description: partial 16S ribosomal RNA
Rfam family: Bacterial small subunit ribosomal RNA
Source: RNAcentral